UCGUUAGAAAGGCACAUUUAAUAAUGAUCGUGAGGCGGUAAACAGUAAAGGGAAAUAACCCAUCAAUCAUACAUGUAUAAUCAUGACACAUGGAGUAAGGGAGAUAAUACAGAUUAAUACAUGUGACAAUCAAUACAAUACAUUGGCGCAACUUCUUUUCUCCUUUAAAGUCUCUCUCUCUCUCUCUUUACAAUUGUCAACUAAUAAUCUCUGUUAUUAUAAGAACAUGAAUAAAAAUAAAUGUUAUCAAUAUGCAUAAACUAAACACAUAGCUAUCAAUAAGAAACAAAAUAAUUCUGACAUUUUUUUUUUCCAUCUCCUUUAAAGUCUCUAUAUCUUC
RNAcentral lists this long non-coding RNA (340 nucleotides) under Mytilus galloprovincialis (Mediterranean mussel). The record is from RNAcentral. Lineage: Eukaryota; Metazoa; Mollusca; Bivalvia; Mytilida; Mytilidae.